This is a long non-coding RNA of Acipenser ruthenus (sterlet), 1003 nucleotides long. RefSeq lists it as uncharacterized. The record is from RefSeq and is a predicted model, not a curated record. The transcript is spliced from 8 exons. Lineage: Eukaryota; Metazoa; Chordata; Actinopteri; Acipenseriformes; Acipenseridae.
ACGGCAUCAGCAAGCCACUGGACAUGCGUGGAGUGACGUCAUCAAAAGAUAAAAGCUGCCUACGCUGAGACGAAUUGUCUUUUACUGUUUUCUACCCGGAGCUGGCAGGCUGUGUGUGAGGCAUAUGGAGAUGAAAAUGAAAAAAACGGGGUUGAUAAUUAAAGUGGAGCUGGUCAACAGCUUAAAAUGGCCUGUCUGGGGCUGAAUAUUGCAUUGAAGUUGCAGGGAACUGCAUCACAUACUGGAGCACAGUAAUGUGCAGAUGGUUGAUCUGUCCAGCAGGGGAUGGUAUAUUGAAGCUGCUGUUAGCACCCCAAUGCAGUAAUGUGAAAUAGGGUAUAAUUUCACAGAUUUUUUACUUCCUUUCACUGUUGCCCUGCAAUUUUUAAAAUUUUGUAUUGUGGCUGGAAGAACUCCAGCCACAAUAUUCCUGCUUAGUUUUCCUCCCCUGGAUGGACCUGUGCAUGCAAGCCGUUCAGCGAGGCUGAGCCUGUCUGUGGCACUGUCCUUUCCUUGAGUGCUUGCUAGAGAAACACUGGGGUGGUUUGAGGCCUUGGCAUGCCUGAUCCGUGACAAGGUUAUAGGUAAACCUCAGACAACUUCUAAACUCCCCGGGUCAAUUGCACUGAACUCUCAGUAGCUACUAACUUGCGAUCAUCUCGUAGUGGAAAUGACCUCUGUCAGAAGUAGAGCUAAAUAUUGCAUUCCAGUUGCUGGCAAUCCGGUCUCUUACUGAAGCACACUGUUGUGAACAAGGUGCAGAUCAACAGGUUGAUCUGUCCAGCAGGGGAUGGUAUAUUGAAGCUGCUGCUAGCACCCCCAAUGCAGUAAUGUGAAAUCGGAUCGAACUGUGAGGACUGCGCACCCAGCCACAUUGAGGAUCACAGGACUUGCCAGUUCCCUUUAUUGGGCUGAAGAGGGGAAGUAAUGGGUGGUGUUGAAAUCUAAUUGCAAUAAAAACACAUGCACUGUAUUUUUAUAAGCCAAUAAAGUUUUUAUAGAA